ACUCAAAGGAAUAGACGGGGACCCGCACAAGCGGUGGAGCAUGUGGUUUAAUUCGAGGCAACGCGAAGAACCUUACCAGGCCUUGACAUGGGUAGUAUGGUUUCCAGAAACGGAAUCCUUCAGUUUGGCUGGCUACCACACAGGUGCUGCAUGGCUGUCGUCAGCUCGUGUCGUGAGAUGUUGGGUUAAGUCCCGCAACGAGCGCAACCCUCAUCCUUAGUUGCCAACAGGUAAUGCUGGGAACUCUAAGGAAACUGCCGGUGAUAAGCCGGAGGAAGGUGGGGAUGACGUCAAGUCUUCAUGGCCCUUACGGCCUGGGCUACACACGUGCUACAAUGGCGGUGACAAUGGGCAGCUAACCCGCAAGGGCAUGCAAAUCUCAAAAAACCGUCUCAGUUCGGAUUGCACUCUGCAACUCGAGUGCAUGAAGCUGGAAUCGCUAGUAAUCGUAGAUCAGCACGCUACGGUGAAUACGUUCCCGGGUCUUGUACACACCGCCCGU
RNAcentral lists this ribosomal RNA (502 nucleotides) under uncultured bacterium. RNAcentral's name for it is "partial 16S ribosomal RNA". It matches the Rfam family "Bacterial small subunit ribosomal RNA", at positions 899 to 1397 of the family's 1533-position model. The record is from RNAcentral.